Long non-coding RNA from Halichondria panicea, 795 nucleotides. RefSeq lists it as uncharacterized. The transcript is spliced from 3 exons. NCBI's taxonomy places the organism in Eukaryota, Metazoa, Porifera, Demospongiae, Suberitida, Halichondriidae. The record is from RefSeq and is a predicted model, not a curated record.
ACAUGUGCUGUUCUAUCCUAAAAAAGAUACUUGAUUAAACGAAGUUGAUAUAAGGACCAGAUUUCAACAGUAGGGACAAGCUUGUUAGCAGAAAGGCUAUAGAAGCUCUCAUAAAGCAGCUCCAUACGACGUACAUUUACCGCUAUGCUAAAGCUUUCUGUUCGUGUCGUGAUACCUACUGGGUUGAGUCGUUCAACCAUCAACUCCUCACCUACCUGCCCAAGCGCAUUCACUUUUCGACUGAGACGUUCAUAAUGCGAAUGAAACAUGGAGUAUUACUAUGUGUACACUAUGAGCUUCUCGUACACUAAUUUGUAGUAGUAUUUAGAGCUUACUUUACAUUUCAGUCUAUACUAUCGAUAAUUGCUUUAUUCUAGAAUGAGAACGUCAAUCGCUCUUACACCAGUGACCUUCGACGACCAGAUCGCCGCACAGCAAUGAAAUCCUUAGUGAAGAAAGGUUGUUGCUUUGCUAUGGGCAAUGUAUGUUGAACAAAACAAAGCUGAUAUGAGAGAAUUGAUCGAAAAAGAUGACGUAGUAGAGGAGCAGAAUGAUGACGUGACCUUAGAAGACGGAGUGAUGCCAUCAGAAUAUUUGAGGAUGACAUGGACGACUAACAAUUAAUGAUGACAUGGCCGACUAACAAUUAAUGAGUUUUAUUUACUACGUAAUUGGUGUGUACAGGAUAAUUCUAAGGCAGUCACUGUGGACUCGGUUUCCAUACCAGCCUCUUCUGGCAAAUACUCGGCCUCAAAUGUUGAUCUGUAAUAGUAAUAAGGAAUUAGUAUUUGCUUU